RNAcentral lists this ribosomal RNA (274 nucleotides) under uncultured bacterium. RNAcentral describes it as "partial 16S ribosomal RNA". It matches the Rfam family "Bacterial small subunit ribosomal RNA", at positions 523 to 796 of the family's 1533-position model. The record is from RNAcentral.
AUACGGAGGGGGCUAGCGUUGUUCGGAAUUACUGGGCGUAAAGCGCGCGUAGGCGGCUUAUCAAGUUAGGCGUGAAAGGCCUGGGCUCAACCCGGGAACUGCGCUUAAUACUGGUAGACUUGAGUCCGGGAGAGGGUGGCGGAAUUCCCAGUGUAGAGGUGAAAUUCGUAGAUAUUGGGAAGAACACCAGUGGCGAAGGCGGCCACCUGGCCCGGUACUGACGCUGAGGUGCGAAAGCGUGGGGAGCAAACAGGAUUAGAAACCCCUGUAGUCC